Molecule: ribosomal RNA, 400 nt
Filed under: uncultured bacterium
Lineage: Bacteria
Description: bacterial SSU rRNA
Rfam family: Bacterial small subunit ribosomal RNA
Source: RNAcentral
UGGGGAAUAUUGGACAAUGGGCGCAAGCCUGAUCCAGCAAUGCCGCGUGAGUGAUGAAGGCCUUAGGGUUGUAAAGCUCUUUUACCCGGGACGAUAAUGACGGUACCGGGAGAAUAAGCCCCGGCUAACUCCGUGCCAGCAGCCGCGGUAAUACGGAGGGGGCUAGCGUUGUUCGGAAUUACUGGGCGUAAAGCGCGCGUAGGCGGUUCUUUAAGUCAGAGGUGAAAGCCCGGAGCUCAACUUCGGAAUUGCCUUUGAGACUGGGGGACUUGAAUCCGGGAGAGGUGAGUGGAAUUCCGAGUGUAGAGGUGAAAUUCGUAGAUAUUCGGAAGAACACCAGUGGCGAAGGCGGCUCACUGGACCGGUAUUGACGCUGAGGUGCGAAAGCGUGGGGAGCAAA